GGAUAGCUCAGUUGGUUAGAGCAUGGUGCUGGUAACGCCAAGGUCACAGGUUCGAUCCCCGUAUGGGACU
This 70-nucleotide transfer RNA is filed under the name Podarcis lilfordi (Lilford's wall lizard). RNAcentral describes it as "tRNA.Thr". The stretch from base 4 to 62 matches the Rfam family "tRNA", at positions 8 to 63 of the family's 71-position model. Rfam says of the family: Transfer RNA (tRNA) molecules are approximately 80 nucleotides in length. Lineage: Eukaryota; Metazoa; Chordata; Lepidosauria; Squamata; Lacertidae. The record is from RNAcentral.